RNAcentral lists this ribosomal RNA (485 nucleotides) under uncultured bacterium. RNAcentral describes it as "bacterial SSU rRNA". It matches the Rfam family "Bacterial small subunit ribosomal RNA", at positions 30 to 508 of the family's 1533-position model. The record is from RNAcentral.
AUUGAACGCUGGCGGCAUGCCUUACACAUGCAAGUCGAACGGCAGCACGGGAGCAAUCCUGGUGGCGAGUGGCGAACGGGUGAGUAAUACAUCGGAACGUGCCCAGUUGUGGGGGAUAGCCCGGCGAAAGCCGGAUUAAUACCGCAUACGACCUACGGGUGAAAGCGGGGGAUCGCAAGACCUCGCGCUAUUGGAGCGGCCGAUGUCGGAUUAGCUAGUUGGUGGGGUAAAAGCCUACCAAGGCUACGAUCCGUAGCUGGUCUGAGAGGACGACCAGCCACACUGGGACUGAGACACGGCCCAGACUCCUACGGGAGGCAGCAGUGGGGAAUUUUGGACAAUGGGCGCAAGCCUGAUCCAGCCAUGCCGCGUGCGGGAAGAAGGCCUUCGGGUUGUAAACCGCUUUUGUCAGGGAAGAAACGGUUUGGGCUAAUACCCCGAACUAAUGACGGUACCUGAAGAAUAAGCACCGGCUAACUACGUGC